GUUACUAUAGUUUAAUUAGAACAUAUAACUUGUAAUUAUAAAGUUUUGAGUAGCA
Molecule: transfer RNA, 55 nt
Filed under: Nematodirus oiratianus
Lineage: Eukaryota; Metazoa; Nematoda; Chromadorea; Rhabditida; Molineidae
Description: tRNA-Thr
Source: RNAcentral